RNAcentral lists this ribosomal RNA (511 nucleotides) under uncultured Sebacinales. RNAcentral's name for it is "eukaryotic LSU rRNA". It matches the Rfam family "Eukaryotic large subunit ribosomal RNA", at positions 77 to 590 of the family's 3401-position model. Lineage: Eukaryota; Fungi; Basidiomycota; Agaricomycetes; Sebacinales. The record is from RNAcentral.
CCCCUAGUAACGGCGAGUGAAGAGGGAAAAGCUCAAAUUUUGAAUCUGGUGUCUUUGGCAUCCGAGUUGUAAUCUAGAGAAGUGUUUUUUGCCUUGGACCACACAUAAAUUCCCUGGAAUGGGGUGUCAUAGAGGGUGAGAAUCCCGUUUGUGGUGUGGACUCCCUUGGCUCUGUAAUACACUCUCAACGAGUCGAGUUGUUUGGGAAUGCAGCUCAAAAUGGGUGGUAAAUUCCAUCUAAAGCUAAAUACUGGCGAGAGACCGAUAGCGAACAAGUACCGUGAGGGAAAGAUGAAAAGCACUUUGGAAAGAGAGUGAACCAGUAUGUGAAAUUGUUGAAAGGGAAGCGUUUGAAGUCAGUCACAUUGGUCAGAAUUCAGCCUGGCUUCUGCCUGGUUCACUUUUUGGCAAAUGGGUCAGCAUCAAUUUUGAUUGAGGGAGAAAGACUUGAGGAAUGUGGCUGUCUUUGGACAGUGUUAUAGCCUCUUGUUGUAUGUCUCAAUUGGGAUUG